AGUGAACGCUGGCGGUAGGCCUAACACAUGCAAGUCGAACGGCGGCACAGUAAGAGCUUGCUCUUACGGGUGGCGAGUGGCGGACGGGUGAGGAAUACAUCGGAAUCUACUUUUUCGUGGGGGAUAACGUAGGGAAACUUACGCUAAUACCGCAUACGACCUACGGGUGAAAGCAGGGGAUAUUCGGACCUUGCGCGAUUGAAUGAGCCGAUGUCGGAUUAGCUAGUUGGCGGGGGAAAAGCCCACCAAGGCGACGAUCCGUAGCUGGUAUGAGAGGCUGAUCAGCCACACUGGAACUGAGACACGGUCCAGACUCCUACGGGAGGCCGCAGUGGGGAAUAUUGGACAAUGGGCGCAAGCCUGAUCCAGCCAUACCGCGGGGGUGAAGAAGGCGUUCGGGUUGUAAAGCCCUUUUGUUGGGAAAGAAAAGCAGCAGGUUAAUACCCCGCUGUUCUGACGGUACCCAAAGAAUAAGCACCGGCUAACUUCGUG
RNAcentral lists this ribosomal RNA (492 nucleotides) under uncultured bacterium. Its description in RNAcentral is "partial 16S ribosomal RNA". It matches the Rfam family "Bacterial small subunit ribosomal RNA", at positions 29 to 507 of the family's 1533-position model. The record is from RNAcentral.